AUGAAAUGGAGGGUCCAACAUUGGCAAGGCCGACCAUUCCACUCGAUAAAAGCCUUGGCAGGAGAUUUCCCAUUCCUUUCAUUGAAGAGUUCAAUAAAGAAAAAAAUUUACACAAGUUAUAUCCAUGUUUACAACCAUCUACAAUGUGACCAGGGGAGGAUGUGAAGAGAUACAGCUAGAAAGUGUGUGACAUUCUAUCAGGCUCAUGCACUGAGUGGAUGUUCUUCUCAUCCUGAAGUAGCGUGGACUCUAGACAUGGACUGAUGUACCUCAGUGAAGGUAUUGUAAUUAGAAAACAAGUGGACAAGCUCUCUGCUUCUUGGCCAUGGAUGGAUACUAUAUGGCCAGUUCUCUUAAGCCCCUGCCACUGUGACCUCCCAAUGAUGGAAUGUAACUUGAAACUGUAAGUAAAAAUUAACUCUAACGAUUUUUUUUUUCCUAGUGACUCAUUUCAGCUCAACAAGGAAUUAAACCCCAAACCACCAUAGGAGCCCGAAGAUGACCUCACCAGCUGAGCUUUCAGGAAGAUAUUUUACAAAUUUACUUCUGCACUUAGCUGUAUGCCACCUUAGUGUUCUGAAGUCUAUCUCAAGAGACAGAAGCCUAGUGUAACUGCCCUCUGAGAGGCUACACGCAGCAGCAGAUCAAAACAGAUUAUGAGACCUACAGUCAAACAUUGAAUGAAGCUUGAGAAAUCUCGUGGAAGGGUGAGGCGAAGAAUAGAAGGACACACAGAGUCUGACCAUGCUGCUGAUGUUGAUCUCAGAUUCUGAGGAGGUGCUUCUUGACUGUGUUCUGAGGAGCCUCUACUAAAGACAGAGAUCCUACACCUAGCUGGUGGUGACCCAUGGCAAGGAAAGAACAUGAGGAGCUGUGCACUAAAGAAUAGUUGAAAAGAAUGGAUAAUUUGAUGGACCACGAUGAGGAAGAUUGAGGAAGCAGAGAAAUUACAUCAGUUUGAAUUCAUCUUGAAUGACCUGGAAGAGUAACUGAAGAACAUGUGCCUGGAAGGUGAUCAUAUCCUGCUGAUGCUUAAGGUCAGAUCUCAUCCUCUGAAUGAUCCACAUCUGCCUUACUGGAAAGAAAGACUCUCUUACUGCACUGCUCACUGGGUUCUCAGUCUCAUCACUGAAGUCAACAAUAGCUCUGCUCAGUGUCAUGUGAAACUUCCAACAGAUGCAGCCCACCUCACUCUGCUAAUGGUAUUGUAAAACUACCUGCUUUCUGACAUUCA
Psammomys obesus (fat sand rat) is the source of this 1234-nucleotide long non-coding RNA. RefSeq lists it as uncharacterized. The record is from RefSeq and is a predicted model, not a curated record. The transcript has 12 exons. NCBI's taxonomy places the organism in Eukaryota, Metazoa, Chordata, Mammalia, Rodentia, Muridae.